CACAUACUUAGUUUUUAUUUGCACCCUUCCCCUGACUAGUGAGUGAGAAAGGUUGUGCGUGCGUGUGUGUGUGUGUGUGUGUGUGUAUUUUCCUUUGUGGCUACAUUUUUGGUUUGCUUCCACUUAUUUCAUGCUUGCUGCCUAGAAGAAAUGGAUGGAUGGGUUUUGAUCAGGGGAAAGGCAGUUUGCCCAUUAUCUGCCCAUGAAGGGCUUACCAGUGGGUAGGCCACCCAGGAGCUCAGCUUGUCUUGUCAACAUACCGAUGUAGCAAAAUCGAUGUGUUUGGAGCUGGAAUUAUUUUUCACAGUCUUGUUUGGGCCAGGUCUUGGUCUAUGCUAUGCCUUAUAUAAUGUACAUCAUGAACCUUCACUGGAAAAGAAGCCUGGCACUGGAGGAGUGGCACCUCUGCCCAAACAAGCGAGGAAGCAGACUCUCACUGGAGGAUCAGUGCCAGCCUGGGUACGAGUGACAGCUCUGAACUAGAGGAGCAGCACCCUUCCUCCAUGUGAGUGGACAAACUGCAGCUGGAGGAGUGAGGCCCCGGCUCCAGAGGAGCACGGGAGAGAGGAGCAGGGGCAAGGAAUAACCAACCAUCACCAUCCUGGACAAGGACAACACCUGGGCAGAAACAGGAGCAACCAGACCCUAUGACUGAGGACAAAAACAAAUUCAAAACAGCUGGAAGAGAGACACAUGAGAUUGCAAGAUUGUAUUUCUUGAUUACUUCAAGACAUUCUACAAGAAAAAUGGCAGAUCUGGAAUUCCUGGGGCCACAUUCCAGGGACUGGACACCGGCUGCUUCCUGAGGAUGCGGGUGGAGGAGCUUCUGACUUCACAGCCCCUGCAGGCCCUGAUGUCCAGUUCUACCCACAGACAGGACAGGACUGUUGUAGCCUUCAUGCCUGGUCUAAGCAGCCUCUCAGGAACCCCCUGAGCCCUGGAGUCCACACAACUCCAAAGCAGCUCAGUUAGGGGAGAGUCAGGGACCCCCAAAUGCUAAGUACCCAGACAUUCUUCAGACCUCUACAUAAUUCAGGCUUAAAAAUGACCUAGGUUGAGUCUGCUGUCAUGUUUUUGGGAUGAAGAUGAAAAGAGAAGUGAAAGUGUCUAAAGAGAAGAGCUCUUCCAUUUCUUGCACUGCUGAACUUGUGAAGAUUCCUAUCCUGUUCAUAAGUAGGAGACCAAGAAGUGGAGAGAGAGGAGAGAGGAAGUAAAAAGAAUCAAGCUGUGUUCUGUACAUCUACCAACUACCCAUG
RNAcentral lists this long non-coding RNA (1256 nucleotides) under Heterocephalus glaber (naked mole-rat). RNAcentral's name for it is "lncRNA (ENSHGLG00100028209.2)". The record is from RNAcentral. Lineage: Eukaryota; Metazoa; Chordata; Mammalia; Rodentia; Bathyergidae.